AACGCUAGCUACAGGCUUAACACAUGCAAGUCGAGGGGCAGCACUAGGUAGCAAUACUGAGGUGGCGACCGGCGCACGGGUGCGUAACGCGUAUCCAACCUUCCCGAUACUCUUGGAUAGCCUUCCGAAAGGGAGAUUAAUACAAGAUGGUGUUUCAAUUCCGCAUGUUAUUGAAACUAAAGAUUUAUCGGUAUCGGAUGGGGAUGCGUGACAUUAGAUAGUAGGCGGGGUAACGGCCCACCUAGUCUACGAUGUCUAGGGGUUCUGAGAGGAAGGUCCCCCACACUGGAACUGAGACACGGUCCAGACUCCUACGGGAGGCAGCAGUGAGGAAUAUUGGUCAAUGGUCGGAAGACUGAACCAGCCAAGUAGCGUGAAGGAUGAAGGUUCUAUGGAUUGUAAACUUCUUUUAUACGGGAAUAAAACACCUUACGUGUAGGGUCUUGUAUGUACCGUAUGAAUAAGCAUCGGCUAACUCCGUGCCAGCAGCCGCGGUAAUACGGAGGAUGCGAGCGUUAUCCGGAUUUAUUGGGUUUAAAGGGAGCGUAGACGGGAUGUUAAGUCAGUUGUGAAAGGCUGCGGCUCAACCGCAGCACUGCAGUUGAUACUGGCGUCCUUGAGUGCGGUUGAGGUAUGUGGAAUUCGUGGUGUAGCGGUGAAAUGCUUAGAUAUCACGAAGAACUCCGAUUG
Molecule: ribosomal RNA, 690 nt
Filed under: uncultured Bacteroidales bacterium
Lineage: Bacteria; Pseudomonadati; Bacteroidota; Bacteroidia; Bacteroidales
Description: bacterial SSU rRNA
Rfam family: Bacterial small subunit ribosomal RNA
Source: RNAcentral